RNAcentral lists this non-coding RNA (24 nucleotides) under Rattus norvegicus (Norway rat). The record is from RNAcentral. Lineage: Eukaryota; Metazoa; Chordata; Mammalia; Rodentia; Muridae.
CAACAGCGUGGUGGUUAUUUGCAC